This 432-nucleotide ribosomal RNA is filed under the name uncultured bacterium. Its description in RNAcentral is "bacterial SSU rRNA". It matches the Rfam family "Bacterial small subunit ribosomal RNA", at positions 29 to 507 of the family's 1533-position model. The record is from RNAcentral.
AACGAACGCUGGCGGCAUGCCUAACACAUGCAAGUCGAACGAGACCUUCGGGUCUAGUGGCGCACGGGUGCGUAACGCGUGGGAAUCUGCCCUUGGGUUCGGAAUAACUCAGAGAAAUUUGAGCUAAUACCGGAUGAUGACGUAAGUCCAAAGAUUUAUCGCCCAAGGAUGAGCCCGCGUAAGAUUAGCUUGUUGGUAGGGUAAUGGCCUACCAAGGCGACGAUCUUUAGCUGGUCUGAGAGGAUGAUCAGCCACACUGGGACUGAGACACGGCCCAGACUCCUACGGGAGGCAGCAGUGGGGAAUAUUGGACAAUGGGCGAAAGCCUGAUCCAGCAAUGCCGCGUGAGUGAUGAAGGCCUUAGGGUUGUAAAGCCUUUUACCAGGGAUGAUAAUGACAGUACCUGGAGAAUAAGCUCCGGCUAACUCCGUG